GGUUUCGUCUGCCCUAUGAUCCGCUGGUUCAAUGGCUGCGGUAUACUGACCGUGCAAAGGUAGCGUAAUAACUUGCCUCUUAAAUGGAGGCCCGUAUGAAUGGCAUUACGAGGGCCAAACUGUCUCCCUUUUCUGGUCAACGAAAUUGAUCUGCCCGUGCAGAAGCGGGCAUUACACCAUAAGACGAGAAGACCCUGCGGAGCUUAAGAGACCACGCACACAAACCUAGUAGCCUAACUAAAAGCACAAACAUAAAUUUCUCCCUGCCCCCUCUCUUAGGUUGGGGCGACCGAGGGGCAAAGCCAAACCCCCAUGCGGAGGGGGUCUUAAAAUCACAACCUCUCCCUAAAAACCAAGGGCUCCCGCCCGAACAAGUAGAAGAUCUAGCCAUUAGGACCCGGCAAUACCGAUCAACGGACUAAGUUACCCUAGGGAUAACAGCGCUAUCCCCCUAAAGAGUCCAUAUCGACGGGGGGGUUUACGACCUCGAUGUUGGAUCAGGAUCUCCUAGUGGUGCAGCCGCUACUGAAGGCUC
RNAcentral lists this ribosomal RNA (535 nucleotides) under Schindleria sp. 3 TK-2007. Its description in RNAcentral is "partial 16S rRNA". It matches the Rfam family "Bacterial large subunit ribosomal RNA", at positions 1851 to 2574 of the family's 2925-position model. The record is from RNAcentral. Lineage: Eukaryota; Metazoa; Chordata; Actinopteri; Gobiiformes; Schindleriidae.